Molecule: ribosomal RNA, 253 nt
Filed under: uncultured bacterium
Lineage: Bacteria
Description: partial 16S ribosomal RNA
Rfam family: Bacterial small subunit ribosomal RNA
Source: RNAcentral
UACGAAGGGGGCUAGCGUUGUUCGGAAUCACUGGGCGUAAAGGGCGCGUAGGCGGCUUUAUAAGUCGGGGGUGAAAGCCUGUGGCUCAACCACAGAAUUGCCUUCGAUACUGUAGAGCUUGAGACCGGAAGAGGUGAGUGGAACUGCGAGUGUAGAGGUGAAAUUCGUAGAUAUUCGCAAGAACACCAGUGGCGAAGGCGGCUCACUGGCCCGAUACUGACGCUGAGGCACGAAAGCGUGGGGAGCAAACAGG